AUUGAACGCUGGCGGCAUGCUUUACACAUGCAAGUCGAACGGCAGCACGGGUGCUUGCACCUGGUGGCGAGUGGCGAACGGGUGAGUAAUGCAUCGGAACGUGCCCAUGAGUGGGGGAUAGCCCGGCGAAAGCCGGAUUAAUACCGCAUACGCCCUUAGGGGGAAAGCGGGGGAUCUUCGGACCUCGCGCUAUUGGAGCGGCCGAUGUCGGAUUAGCUAGUAGGUGAGGUAAAGGCUCACCUAGGCGACGAUCCGUAGCUGGUCUGAGAGGAUGAUCAGCCACACUGGGACUGAGACACGGCCCAGACUCCUACGGGAGGCAGCAGUGGGGAAUUUUGGACAAUGGGCGCAAGCCUGAUCCAGCCAUGCCGCGUGAGUGAAGAA
Molecule: ribosomal RNA, 384 nt
Filed under: uncultured bacterium
Lineage: Bacteria
Description: bacterial SSU rRNA
Rfam family: Bacterial small subunit ribosomal RNA
Source: RNAcentral